AGCGUGGAGACAGGUGGUGCAUGGCUGUCGUCAGCUCGUGUCGUGAGAUGUUGGGUUAAGUCCCGCAACGAGCGCAACCCUCACCCUUUGUUGCCAUCAGGUUAUGCUGGGCACUCUAAGGGAACUGCCUCGGUUAACGAGGAGGAAGGUGGGGAUGACGUCAAGUCAUCAUGCCCCUUACGCUCUGGGCUACACACGUGCUACAAUGGCCAAUACAAAGGGCUGCAAACCCGCGAGGGCAAGCCAAUCCCAAAAAAUUGGUCUCGGUUCAGAUUGUAGGCUGCAACCCGCCUGCAUGAAGGAGGAAUCGCUAGUAAUCGUGGAUCAGCAUGCCACGGUGAAUACGUUCCCGGGCCUUGUACACACCGCCCGUCACACCACGAAAGUCUGCUGUACUCGAAGUCGCUGAG
Molecule: ribosomal RNA, 410 nt
Filed under: uncultured Methylomirabilota bacterium
Lineage: Bacteria; Methylomirabilota (SeqCode)
Description: bacterial SSU rRNA
Rfam family: Bacterial small subunit ribosomal RNA
Source: RNAcentral